GACGAACGCUGGCGGCGUGCUUAACACAUGCAAGUCGAACGGAAAGGCCCUGCUUUUGUGGGGUGCUCGAGUGGCGAACGGGUGAGUAACACGUGAGUAACCUGCCCUUGACUUUGGGAUAAAUUCAGGAAACUGGGGCUAAUACCGGAUAGGAGAUCCUGCUGCAUGGGGGGGGUUGGAAAGAUUCGGCGGUUGGGGAUGGACUCGCGGCUUAUCAGCUUGUUGGUGGGGUAGUGGCUUACCAAGGCUUUGACGGGUAGCCGGCCUGGGAGGGUGACCGGCCACAUUGGGACUGAGAUACGGCCCGGACUCAUACGGGAGGCAGGGGUGGGGAAUAUUGCACAAAGGGCGGAGGCCUGAGGCAGCAACGCCGCGUGCGGGAUGACGGCCUUCGGGUUGGAAACCGCUUUCGCCUGUGACGAAGCGUGAGUGACGGUAAUGGGUAAAGAAGCACCGGCUAACUACGU
Molecule: ribosomal RNA, 467 nt
Filed under: uncultured bacterium
Lineage: Bacteria
Description: partial 16S ribosomal RNA
Rfam family: Bacterial small subunit ribosomal RNA
Source: RNAcentral